Molecule: ribosomal RNA, 431 nt
Filed under: uncultured bacterium
Lineage: Bacteria
Description: partial 16S ribosomal RNA
Rfam family: Bacterial small subunit ribosomal RNA
Source: RNAcentral
AACGAACGCUGGCGGCAGGCUUAACACAUGCAAGUCGAACGCCCCGCCAGGGGUUUUGCAGACUGGUGAUUAACGCGUGUGAACAUACCCUUUUCUACGUAAUAUCUCUUUGAUACUUGUAUUAAUACCGUAUUCGCCCUACGGUGGCAAGAUUUAUCGGGGUAGGAUUGGCCCGCGUUGGAUUAUCUUGUUUGUUGUGUAAAGGCCUACCAAUGCGACGAUCCAUAGCUGGUCUGAGAGGAUGAUCAGACACAUUGGGACUGAGACACGGACCAAACUCCUACGGGAGGAAGCAGAGGGGAAUAUUGGAAAAUGGGCGAAAGACUGAUAAAGCAAUGACGGGUGAGUGAUGAAGGCAUGAGGGUUGUAAAGCUCUAUAAAAGAUGAAGAUAAUGACGGUAGUCGGAGAAGAAGCCACGGCUAACUUCGUG